UAACUUUGUGGUUGAUAUUAUGGCAUAAAUUACUGUCAGAGGGGAUAUAUAGUUGCAUAGGUAAGGUUUUUCCAAAGGUGAUUAUUUCUGUUCCGACCUUUAAUCAUCCAAAACGUCUCUUCUACUCCAAAUAAAAGCUAGCCCUUCAUUUUGCUGCUUUCUCAAAGGUUUUCACAAACAAUCUCUGUCAUUCAUUAUGAUCUGGCCUGAACUGGAUAACAUGUUUUGUAACGGCAUGAAAGGAACAGAAAAAUCUCUCAACAGAUGAGGAAUUUACGCGUUAACAACUACAACAACAACACUCUGGCUGAAAUCCCAGGGUAUAAAUAAGACACGCGCCACUGAUUUUCAAAUUGCAUUAAAUUGAAAGUAUAAUCUCAUACUAACUGGACCAAAAUAGCAUAUAGUGUUGUCUGACUGCACAGCUUCUCCACAGCCCUGUAAACAAUGUACCUGACUGCGCCUACGAAGGUGCAAAAACAGAUGGCUCAAGACUCCACUGUGAGCAACACUAGAUUUCUGCUCAGUGAAAUGUUAAACAAAUACACGAGAGGUAAUCUGACACUCUGAGGAGUAGUUUAAUUAAGACCCAUUCACAUUAAGAUGCUUCAAAUUGACUGCUUAAUUAGGGGAAACUGUCCUCUGAACUUGUUAACCUUGCAGUACUGUCACUUUUACUUCUUAUCAUCAUUAAAUACAACCCUCUUUAGCACAAGUUGACAACAAGCAAAAUGCAAUUAGCUAUUUGAUGAGCAAAUAACUCUUACAAUAUUACUGUGGAAAUUGAAUGCAUCCCAGUGAAGCUAGAUAAGGGCGGCCCUGCUAAUAAGCAAACAAACAGUUUUUCUCUGCUGACAUUGUAAUGAAGGAAGUCAAAUAUUAUCUGAUCAAAUUUAAAAGACUGUUAGCAGAAAUAAGCAGGCGAAGGGCACGCAUUUGUAAUCUCCUUCUAAUUAAGUGCAUGAAUCCCAAAAGAUUUACUUUGAUUGUAAAGUCUAAAAAUAGAGAAAAAAGCGAGCGACGGAUCAGAGAAAAGAAAUUAAACCUUGUCAAAUAUAACCUAGUUAUUUGCAGAUUUUAAUUGUUCUUGAAUGUAGCCAAGAUAAUAUCUUAACUUAACAACUUAAAUGAAACACUUAAAAUCAUCAGACACACAGAUGACCUGUAAACCGAUAAAUUAAUCAAUCAGUAAAUCAAUAAUUUACCCAGUUCAUCAGUGACUUCUUUAAUAAAUCAUUCUUUAUAUUUUUUAAAUUGUGAUUUUGAGGAGUUGAACUCUCCAGUUGUCCCAACAGACCACUGACUAAUCUCUGAACAUGAAACUUGUACCAACUUCAAGAUAACACUCUGAUGACAUUGAUGAAUGUCAUUCUAUUUCCCCCACAGGAGUGACAGGAGGAGAUACCAGGCCAUUUCUGAACACUACCAGCUUGUCCGGUCAACAUUAUCUUAAUGGAAAUGGAGUAAUCUGAUUCUGAAUGAGACAUCACUUUGGCAGAUAGAUUAAACCGUAGGGGCCACAAGAGUCAGCACAGAACUUUAUCAACAAACAAAAUCACACUGAUAAAGAAAAAGGAAACAGAUUAAAUGUUCUACGAUAAAAGACACUCUAAGUUAUAUCUUUAAGCCGUUUCUUCAAAACCCUUUUUUUUUUUUUUUUUUUUACCUUGUCAGUAAAUAAAUAACA
Sebastes umbrosus (honeycomb rockfish) is the source of this 1687-nucleotide long non-coding RNA. RefSeq lists it as uncharacterized. NCBI's taxonomy places the organism in Eukaryota, Metazoa, Chordata, Actinopteri, Perciformes, Sebastidae. The record is from RefSeq and is a predicted model, not a curated record. The transcript has 3 exons.